Molecule: long non-coding RNA, 526 nt
Organism: Capsella rubella
Lineage: Eukaryota; Viridiplantae; Streptophyta; Magnoliopsida; Brassicales; Brassicaceae
Exons: 2
Source: RefSeq, a predicted model, not a curated record
CUCUCUCUCUCUCUCUCUCUCUCUCUCUCUCUCUUCCAGAUCUUGGAUUUCACAAGCAUAGCUCAGUAGAUCUUGGAUUUCACUAGUCUUCCAAGCCCAACCCGUUCGAUUCUGAUGAUGAAUCCGAUAACAAACAUACCCGCCGCAGAUGAACACCUUUCUUCUCAACAAAGUCGUCAGAAUCGUCAAUCUAGCCAUGUGUUGAAGUGUUGUUUUGUGGACAAGCCUUAGCAAACGUAGCUUCUGUGGUCAUAUAAUCGUGGACUUCAGUUAUGUGGAUUGCACUUCUUGGAUAAAACGAGUUCCAGAGAUCAAAUGUCAUAUUUUGGUUGAUUUUGAAAUUUUUUUUGGAUGGUCUAUAGUUAGAAAUGCAUGUGCAGUGUCAUAGUUUUCCUUUGAUCAAUCAUACAUGUUCAUUUGUAUUUUUUAUGCUUAACCGGUUUUCUUUUUUUGCUUUAGCUCAAUUUUAAUUUGUGAAGAUUUUUUUUUUUGGUUUGAGGUUUGAAAUUAUACGACCAUUUGUCUC